Molecule: ribosomal RNA, 450 nt
Filed under: uncultured bacterium
Lineage: Bacteria
Description: partial 16S ribosomal RNA
Rfam family: Bacterial small subunit ribosomal RNA
Source: RNAcentral
GUGGGGAAUAUUGGACAAUGGGCGAAAGCCUGAUCCAGCCAUGCCGCGUGUGUGAAGAAGGUCUUCGGAUUGUAAAGCACUUUAAGUUGGGAGGAAGGGCAGUAAGUUAAUACCUUGCUGUUUUGACGUUACCGACAGAAUAAGCACCGGCUAACUUCGUGCCAGCAGCCGCGGUAAUACGAAGGGUGCAAGCGUUAAUCGGAAUUACUGGGCGUAAAGCGCGCGUAGGUGGUUUUGUAAGUUGGAGGUGAAAUCCCCGGGCUCAACCUGGGAACUGCCUCCAAAACUGCAUGAAUGGAGUACGGUAGAGGGUAGUGGAAUUUCCUGUGUAGCGGUGAAAUGCGUAGAUAUAGGAAGGAACACCAGUGGCGAAGGCGACUACCUGGACUGAUACUGACACUGAGGUGCGAAAGCGUGGGGAGCAAACAGGAUUAGAAACCCGUGUAGUCC